UGAGGAAUAUUGGUCAAUGGGCGAGAGCCUGAACCAGCCAAGUCGCGUGAAGGAAGACAGUCCUAAGGAUUGUAAACUUCUUUUAUACGGGAAUAACGGGCGAUACGAGUAUUGCAUUGAAUGUACCGUAAGAAUAAGCAUCGGCUAACUCCGUGCCAGCAGCCGCGGUAAUACGGAGGAUGCGAGCGUUAUCCGGAUUUAUUGGGUUUAAAGGGUGCGUAGGUUGUUCGGUAAGUCAGCGGUGAAACCUGAGCGCUCAACGUUCAGCCUGCCGUUGAUACUGCCGGGCUUGAGUUCAGUGGCGGCAGGCGGAAUUCGUGGUGUAGCGGUGAAAUGCAUAGAUAUCGCGAGGAACUCCGAUUGCGAAGGCAGCUUGCCAUACUGCGACUGACACUGAAGCACGAAGGCGUGGGUAUCAAACAGG
RNAcentral lists this ribosomal RNA (424 nucleotides) under Fusobacteriota bacterium. RNAcentral describes it as "Fusobacteria bacterium partial 16S ribosomal RNA". It matches the Rfam family "Bacterial small subunit ribosomal RNA", at positions 355 to 776 of the family's 1533-position model. Lineage: Bacteria; Fusobacteriati; Fusobacteriota. The record is from RNAcentral.